AGCUUCGGCCAUCCGGCGAGGGAUGAGCCCGCGGUACAUUAGCUAGUUGGUAGGGUAACGGCCUACCAAGGCGACGAUGUAUAGCUGGUCUGAGAGGAUGAUCAGCCACACUGGGACUGAGACACGGCCCAGACUCCUACGGGAGGCAGCAGUCGGGAAUCUUGCGCAAUGGGCGAAAGCCUGACGCAGCAACACCGUGUGAGCGACGAAGGCCUUCGGGUCGUAAAGCUCUGUUGUUGGGGACGAAGGGCGAAGGGUUAAUAGCCC
RNAcentral lists this ribosomal RNA (267 nucleotides) under uncultured Rubrobacter sp. RNAcentral describes it as "partial 16S ribosomal RNA". It matches the Rfam family "Bacterial small subunit ribosomal RNA", at positions 202 to 468 of the family's 1533-position model. Lineage: Bacteria; Bacillati; Actinomycetota; Rubrobacteria; Rubrobacterales; Rubrobacteraceae. The record is from RNAcentral.